AGUAGUUUACUACUUUGCCGGCGAGCGGCGGACGGGUGAGUAAUGUCUGGGAAACUGCCUGAUGGAGGGGGAUAACUACUGGAAACGGUAGCUAAUACCGCAUAACGUCUUCGGACCAAAGUGGGGGACCUUCGGGCCUCACGCCAUCGGAUGUGCCCAGAUGGGAUUAGCUAGUAGGUGGGGUAAUGGCUCACCUAGGCGACGAUCCCUAGCUGGUCUGAGAGGAUGACCAGCCACACUGGAACUGAGACACGGUCCAGACUCCUACGGGAGGCAGCAGUGGGGAAUAUUGCACAAUGGGCGCAAGCCUGAUGCAGCCAUGCCGCGUGUGUGAAGAAGGCCUUCGGGUUGUAAAGCACUUUCAGCGAGGAGGAAGGCAUAAAGGUUAAUAACCUUUGUGAUUGACGUUACUCGCAGAAGAAGCACCGGCUAACUCCGUGCCAGCAGCCGCGGUAAUACGGAGGGUGCAAGCGUUAAUCGGAAUUACUG
This 489-nucleotide ribosomal RNA is filed under the name Yersinia enterocolitica. RNAcentral's name for it is "bacterial SSU rRNA". It matches the Rfam family "Bacterial small subunit ribosomal RNA", at positions 74 to 556 of the family's 1533-position model. Lineage: Bacteria; Pseudomonadati; Pseudomonadota; Gammaproteobacteria; Enterobacterales; Yersiniaceae. The record is from RNAcentral.